GACGAACCGUGCGAACGUUGUUCAGAAUCACUGGGCUUAAAGGGCGCGUAGGCGGCCCGCCGCGUCCGGGGUGAAAUCCUCCCGCUCAACGGGAGAACGGCCUCGGAUACGGGCGGGCUGGAGGGGGGUAGGGGCGGGGCGGGAACUGUGGGUGGAGCGGUGGAAAUGCGUUGAGAUCCACAGGAACUCCGGUGGCGAAGGCGGCCCGCUGGACCCCAUCUGACGCUGAGGCGCGAAAGCCAGGGGAGCGAACGGG
RNAcentral lists this ribosomal RNA (256 nucleotides) under uncultured bacterium. RNAcentral's name for it is "partial 16S ribosomal RNA". It matches the Rfam family "Bacterial small subunit ribosomal RNA", at positions 524 to 776 of the family's 1533-position model. The record is from RNAcentral.